Molecule: long non-coding RNA, 644 nt
Organism: Oncorhynchus keta (chum salmon)
Lineage: Eukaryota; Metazoa; Chordata; Actinopteri; Salmoniformes; Salmonidae
Exons: 3
Source: RefSeq, a predicted model, not a curated record
ACAAGACUCGUUCGCGAACGGCCCAAAGCAGUCUGGACUGGUUGAAGCAGAGUGGGAAGGAUUAUUUUGAAAGUGUUUCAGUCUGCCGUGAAUCAUCAUAAUCCAUACACUGCAUAAACCUGCUCUCCGCCACCAGCAAAAGGAGAUGAUUGAGGGUGAACAUGCAACACAUCAGCUUUAGUUGUCUGGAGCCUGGUGGUGUUGUAGCCAUGGAGCUUUCACUUAGAUGGAACCAGGUUACAGCUGCUGUGCAACGUCCUUCCUCCGGCAAACAUAUUUUUGAGAAGAUCAGGACUUUUGCAAUGAAAAGGCCAUGGACAUUAUAUGUCCUGAUCCAAAGGGCAGAAUAGAAAUAUGCUCUCAGGCUAGAUUCCUUUGUUCAUAUCAUAACAUGACCUGAACCAAAGUUAUUCUCAGGAUCUUGUGAUAUAGGCCUAGGUCAAUAUAUUGUUUUUACCUAAGCCUUUGUGUUUGUGUGUUAAGUUUUUCGUAAUUGCAGGCUACUACCUUUAGCACUUGAAGUUAAUAAAGUAUUGUUGAAAUAUUGUGUUUGUUUUUUUAAGCGCUACCUCACUGCUUUAGCACAUUGCCAUGGUCACGUGUUCCAAUGUGAAUUUUUUAAGAGACGGGUAGGUCUAAGCCGU